GCCAGGUAUAAGGGGCACCAAAUGGUUACCCACAGGACAAAAUGAAAGAAAUGAAACUUCAGAUCCAGAAUGAAGUGACCUCCUCUCGGCCUUCCAGAGCCUGGAUUCCUACAGAGCCGACCCCACAGCACCCGUGGUUGGGACAGAAGGGGACUCCGGAGCCCGGGCCUUCUCUGCCUGAGCCGCAGGAGGCUGCGUCUGUGCCUCAGAGGCCUGCGUCCUUAGGCAGAUUCCCUGGCACUGUGCCUCUCUCUCUGCGCAGAGUGAACUCACAAUUAAGUAUCCGCUCCCAUAACAGAACCCCUUCCCGGUUAGUCAGGACUGUGGGUUUUCUGAACCCACCUUCCCCAGCUGAUUUGAAUUCAAGUUGAAAAAUCUGACCCUCACAAACAGGUUUUUAAAACUUGUUCCCAGGUUUGGCUGGGGAAAUCUGCUUAAAGUCCCAGAAAAAACAAACAAAACAAAACAAAGCACAAUGGCUAUUUUAUUUUUAUUAAGUUGAGCCCGGAGUGGGUAUCAGGACCUGCUGGGUGGCAGGACACAGGGGCGAGUGGGA
This 556-nucleotide long non-coding RNA is filed under the name Chinchilla lanigera (long-tailed chinchilla). RNAcentral describes it as "lncRNA (ENSCLAG00000025178.1)". Lineage: Eukaryota; Metazoa; Chordata; Mammalia; Rodentia; Chinchillidae. The record is from RNAcentral.